GGGGAUUUGGGUAUCAAAAUGUGAGUUGAGGUGCAGCUGGAGGAGCACACUGCACCUGAUGCUGCCUGCUGAGCUGCUCAUUGCUGCAUCCCAAGCCCUUCCCCAGCAUCCAGCUGCACUUCAAAGGAAUUGAGAGGGGAAAUUGAUGUGAAAGGGCUGCACCUUCUCUGUUUUUCCCCAGGGAUCCAGUUCAGAAUGUCCGGCCUGUUGAACGCCUAAGCUCUUCAGAAUAAGUGAUUUUCAGAUGGAGUUAACAACUGUCACUCACGUCGAAGAAAGAAACUGAGUGAGGGCAAGAGUGGAAAGGACCUGCCAGCAUUGCAGGAUAGAAGGACGUGAAAACAGCAGCAGAGACUGAGAAGACAUGAGCUGUUCUGUGCUCACAGUAAAAUCAUUGGGAUUCUUGCCAUGAAUGCAGAACUGAGUUGCUCUUUCAGCAUUUCAGUACCCAUCACCAUAUUAUCUAGGCGCCACCGUAAGAUUAAGGAGCUCAACAUGAUCUGCUCAGAGGUCAUUAGCAGAGCCUUUCAUACUGGAGAAGGUCGGAGGAGAGUAAGGAAGUGCACAGCAGAAGAAAAGAAAAAGGAAAAGGAGGUGGUAAGCCAUUUUAGUUGUGCUCAUCCUGUGUGGCUUGCUUAGCUAGCACGGAAAUAUCAGAACCUCGUGACAGCUGUAUUUAUUCUGAUACGAGGACUACAGGACUUGUUGUUACACUACUGUUAUGUCAGAAAAUUGUCUUACGUGGCCCACAGUUUGGAUCUUUAUGAUUUCUGUAUAUUGCUGCCUCACAACAAGAUAACUCAAAAACUCCUAGCAGAAAGCAAACAUUGCAUCUCAGAGAGCCACUCUCUCCAAACUAAUAGGUUAAAAUUUGAUUUCUGGCUUAGCAUGUGAGUCCUACAAGCACUUUAUGCUUCAGGAAGCAGAGAGGGUGUUUUCCAACAUGCACAAAGUUACAUGGGAUCCAUGGAAACAGAAGACCCAAACUGGUUUCCACUGAAGACACUUGCUAUAGACUCUUUCAUUGCCAUGAGCACGUGCUAAGGGCAGCCUAGGAAUAUUGCUCUUUGGAAAGGUGACGCUGUCUGUACUGUGUUCACUGAUGCAGCCUGUUGUUACUGUUUCAAGAAAUACAUUAGUAGGAGAAACCUGCCAAAGUUCUUUUUUCUUCACCACUACAAUUAGGAAGGCUGGUGCAGUCCUGCUGAGACCAAUGGUGGUAUGCUGACGUGCUCAAAUAAACCCACUGAGGGUCUUUUCUACCA
RNAcentral lists this long non-coding RNA (1265 nucleotides) under Phasianus colchicus (ring-necked pheasant). RNAcentral's name for it is "lncRNA (ENSPCLG00000000210.1)". Lineage: Eukaryota; Metazoa; Chordata; Aves; Galliformes; Phasianidae. The record is from RNAcentral.